UACGUAGGCAGCGAGCGUUGUUCGGAAUUACUGGGCGUAAAGAGUGUGUAGGCGGUGCUCUAAGUCUGGCGUGAAAUCUCCCGGCUUAACUGGGAGGGUGCGGCGGAAACUAGUGUGCUAGAGGGUGGGAGAGGAAAGCGGAAUUCCUGGUGUAGCGGUGAAAUGCGUAGAUAUCAGGAGGAACACCUGCGGUGUAGACAGCUUUCUGGACCACAUCUGACGCUGAGACACGAAAGCGUGGGUAGCAAACAGG
Molecule: ribosomal RNA, 253 nt
Filed under: uncultured bacterium
Lineage: Bacteria
Description: partial 16S ribosomal RNA
Rfam family: Bacterial small subunit ribosomal RNA
Source: RNAcentral